Triticum dicoccoides is the source of this 1007-nucleotide long non-coding RNA. RefSeq lists it as uncharacterized. NCBI's taxonomy places the organism in Eukaryota, Viridiplantae, Streptophyta, Magnoliopsida, Poales, Poaceae. The transcript has 2 exons. The record is from RefSeq and is a predicted model, not a curated record.
GCUGGCGCAGCCACCGCCUACACCCGUGACUCCCUUGCCUUAUCUUUUUGUCCGCCUACACCCGUGAGCUCCAGCAAUCAAUCCCCAUCCACACGAACGCAUGCUCCUCUCCCAAAUCCCAUUUUUCUCUGCUGAUCUCCAAUGCAACUAAAUCCCCCACUCCUCUGGCUGCAAGCACAUCGAUCUGAAGGAAGGGGGCACAGGGUUGCUGCUACGGUAGUCGGGGCGAGCAGGCGACCAUGAAGAUUGUGGAGACGGUGGCUAGCGAGCUGCAACAACUAGCCGGCGAGGUUGGUGGUGGUCGGCGACGGCUAGCCGCCAUGUUUUUUUUUUUUUUGCUACCAUCGGUUGGUGUGGAUGCUACAACCGUUGCGGGGCGAGCUGCAACCGGCAACGGCGCUGACAAGCUAUCGCCGGCAACGGCACUGACGAGCUAGCACCGGCUGGUGUGGAUGCUGCAACCGUUGCGGGGCGAGCUGCAACCGGCAACGGAGUUGUCACUACCUGUACCGGCAAGCACAACGGUGGAGCACACUAUACGCUACAACCGUUGAGGCAGAAGCUGCAACCACGCCCGGUUUUUGCUGGAACCGGUGAUCGCGGCGAGCUGCAAGGUGACCACGGCGAGUUUGUCCAUAUGGGCGGGGGAGUGCUGCAACCACGACCAGGUUUGUUGGAACCGACGAGCUGGGGCAGCGACACAAAGCUGCUUUUUGUCAACGGCGAGCAUCGGCGGCGAGCACGGCGGUGGCUGUCGACAACGACAAACAGGGGAGGGCGGGACGCGCGCUGUGCGACACAAUGAUGAUGGGCGGCCGUCAUGUCGUGCGGUGUCUUUUUCAGAUCUGAACGCGAACAGGAUGAGAAGGAAGCAGACGAUGAGUGGAUGAGGAUCCAACGGUUGGGGGUGAGCCAAUCGGGCGGUUGGGGCGUGACCGGCCGAAACUUUGGGCCGGCGCGCCGGCGCCUAUCAGUCGCCUUUUUUUAAUGAUUUUAUAUAUCUGAUA